UACGUAGGGUGCGAGCGUUAAUCGGAAUUACUGGGCGUAAAGCGUGCGCAGGCGGUUAUGUAAGACAGAUGUGAAAUCCCCGGGCUCAACCUGGGACCUGCAUUUGUGACUGCAUAGCUAGAGUACGGUAGAGGGGGAUGGAAUUCCGCGUGUAGCAGUGAAAUGCGUAGAUAUGCGGAGGAACACCGAUGGCGAAGGCAGUCCCCUGGACCUGUACUGACGCUCAUGCACGAAAGCGUGGGGAGCAAACAGG
Molecule: ribosomal RNA, 253 nt
Filed under: uncultured bacterium
Lineage: Bacteria
Description: partial 16S ribosomal RNA
Rfam family: Bacterial small subunit ribosomal RNA
Source: RNAcentral